AGUGGUGCUGUUGUUGCUGCUGCUACUUUGCCAGCUGCCUGACACUUCAGUUGUUUCUUAAAAGCCGGUCGAAGCUGUUGUUUAGGUUCGGUAGUGUGCGUUCGAUGUUGGAAUUUUUAUUUAUUGGUGCUCGCUACCAAAAACAAGAAUAACAACACACACACACACACACACUCAUGUAAAUACAUGCAGUUGAUGUGAGAAAAAAGUGAAGUGCAUACGAAAAAAAUUCGAUUGAAACGAAUUAAUAAAGUACAUAUGUAUGUAUAUAUGUACGUUCACAAAGAGCGCGAUACAUGGGAUUGAAAAAGUAAAGAAAUAAAAUUGGCGCUAAACAAAAAAGAAAGCAAAAUAUGAAAUAGAAAAAAUAAAAAUAAAAAUAAAUUAUUUUGUUUACAUUUUCGCGCUGCUCCCAUUAUAUUACAUAUAUUUCUUCUAUGUAAUUAUAUUUAACCAUAAGAGGAAGCGUUUAAUAUCAAACACGAAUACGAAAUUUAAAAGUAAAUAAGCAUUUGCCGAAAUAAAGGUAACUAAGCAAACGGAGAGAAAGAAACAAGCAGUAAUUACAGUGAAAUGAAGUGAAGUGAAGUGAGUGAAGAAAGAAAGUAACACAACACUAGUGUGUGCUUGGGUAGCGAAAAGCAGUGGAAACGCAAGCAAAGCAAAGUAAGAAAAUGUAACGUGGAGUAGAUGUGGAAGUGCAAAUGCAGUUCAACUAAAUAUGUACGCAUAUACAUACAUACAUACAUACAUACAUACAAGCAAAUGUAUUUAAAUAAAUGUGUACAGUGAUGUACUUUGCAAUUGCUAUAAAUUUAUUUAAUUGGAGUAGGCAACAAAUGAAGUGAAAUAAAUAAAUGUAAGAAACAAAAGAGAAAACAAGAAAAAAAAAACUAUUUCAGUAAGCACAAAACGAGUUCAAAAUUAUUCUCAGUGUGUGUGUGCAAAAACUACUUAUUUUAAAAAUAAAGUAGCAAAAUAAAUAAAUUAAAUAAGUGAAAUUAGCGUUUGCGGAAGAGGCAAUUAAUGUAAAGUGAAAAAUUAAAAAAAAAAGUUAUAUCAACUGAAUUAAAUGCAGUACUAUGCCAAUUAUCAUCCUGUGCUAUUGUGUGCUAUACAAGUUAAUUAAUAUUCAUGGAAAUUAAAAAGAAAUUCUCAUUAAUUUUGGAGUAAAAAUAUUCAAUGCAAAACAUGCACAUAUGUACGAGUAUGUACAUAUAUACCAUAUACUAAGAGUCAUCGUACAUACAUAAAUAUAUAAUAUGCUGAUGUAGCAGUUAAUCUUUAGUUCAACUCUAAAGAAAAAGUAAAUAAUUCGCAGUAAAGUGCUAACGGAAAACGUGUUAUUUAAGCUGUAUAAAUAAAAUACAUUUGUAUGUAUAUUUGUAUUUACUGGUGGUGCUUUUUUAAAGCUAAAGCUGCAACAACGAGUGUCAAAUGAAAGUCAUUUAUAAGCAGUUCAUUUUCUUCUAAGAUUAUGAGCAUGUGAUCAUCACAAAAUAAGUGCUAAGAAUUUUUUAGUAUUUCCACAAACUCAAUACAAGUACCAUUCGGUUGAAACGUGAGCUGUGUUUAACUAACGGUGGAAAGCAGCUGUUGCGCAUACAAACAUACUUGGCUAACACAUUUCCUUACAAUAAAUGCACACAAAUGUGCAAGAUUAUCCGCAAAUAUGUAAAAAUGCCAAUGUCAACAGUGAAACAACAACUGCCGCAACCAUAUUUACUACACCAACAACAACUACUACUUCUGUAGCACAUAAAACGGAAUAAAAGCAGGAAAUCACAUUUUGAGAUUUAUACCAGCCAAACAACACCGCAAUAAUCAAAUAACAACAACAAUAUAAAAAUCGAAAGAGCAACAAUUCCAAGUAAGUGCUUUGACCGCCUACUUAUUCAGAUAUCCGUAUUUGUACGUGAUGUGCAAGCUUUUAUGCAAGCCUUGAGUGAUAUGCAAAUUGCAAAGUGACACAGUAUUGCUGCCACAAAGAAUAAUCAAUAAUUAAGCCAGCCAACAAUCAGCAUACCCACGCCUACAAGCACACCAGCGCUGCCACGCACAGCACAAAGGAGUGUCGACAAGGACGUUAAUUAAUCACAAACUUGCGGUGGGGCAGCUACAGGAAGCAAACGAAACACUGCCACAAGUACACACCACAUAACACAUCAAAUAAACGAAACCAUCAACAAAACGCCUGUUAAAACAACAACAACAACAACAGGAGCAAGAAAGGGCAGUAGUAGAGGGGACGUGAGUCACCAGCUUUGUUGAAGCCUGCCUAACUCAAACUGACAGCGUGUUUUGAGGCAUAAAGCAUACAACUAACGGUGAGAGCAACGUAUGAAGCUUUAGACGUAUUUGGGCGAGCUUGCCACAUCAACGAGUCGCAGAGCUGAGCGCACAAAAUACGCCUGUUGCUGACACCAACAGCCAAUUAUCGUAGUGAUAGAAGAUAUUUGCGCUUAAAAACCAUACAAAAUACAGACAAACAUACACAUCACACAUGAUGUUAAGCCAUAGAAGUAAAGGUGCCACGACGUGUCGUAUAGAUUGCAGCAACAAAAUGUACGAUCAACCCUGUAGAACAUUUUGUAGACGCCGCAGCAGUAAGCAAACAAUAAAAAAAUCGCACAACAAGCACAGCGCUGUAUCGGCGCAACAACAACAGUACCGCCAAUAUACCCCCCACUCUUCCACAACCCUGCUCUUACUGCUAACACAAGCGCUCUUCCUGCUGUUGCUCCUCGUCAGCAUAUCGCCCACAGAUGGCAACCCCGAUUGGAUGCAACACUGCAGCAUGUGUCAUUGCAAUUGGAAUUCGGGUAAAAAGACGGCCGACUGUAAAGCGCGCUCACUCAAAGCCAUACCAAACGAUCUGAGCAACGAAAUGCAGGUGGUGGAUUUCUCGAAUAAUCACAUACCCGAGUUGCGACGCGAAGAGUUUGCCGAUGCGAAUCUACAAAAUCUGCAUAAGAUCUUCUUACGCAACUGUACGAUACAAGAAGUGAAUCGCGACGCGCUCAAAGGUCUCACCAUACUCAUCGAGCUGGAUAUGUCGCAUAAUUUUAUAGGCGAACUACAUGUGGGCACCUUCAGCGGUUUGGAGAAAUUGCGUACGCUCGUCAUGAAUCACAAUGAGAUUCAGGUUUUGGAAAAUUAUCUCUUUGUCGAUCUGCCCUUCCUUUCACGCGUCGAAUUCAAGAAUAAUCGCCUGAAGCAAGUCGAAGUGCAUACUUUCGGCCAACAGCCCAUACUGUCAGCAAUCUACUUAGAGGCCAACUCAUUGCAUGUGCUACGCAAGGAGACCUUCACACGCAUACCCAAAUUGGUGCAUCUGUCGCUAACGCAAAACCCCUGGAACUGCACCUGUGAGUUGCAAGCCUUCCGCGACUUUGCAAUCGCCAAACGCCUGUACACACCACCCACAGACUGCGCACAACCAGCCGCGUUACGUGGCAAACUAUGGACCGACAUACCGUCGGAAAACUUCGCCUGCCAGCCACACAUACUCGGCUCGGUGCGUUCGUUUGUUGAAGUACAAUCGGAUAAUAUUACAUUGCCGUGUCGUGUGGAAGGCUCACCGCGUCCCAACAUAACCUGGGUAUAUAAUCGACGGGCCAUCAAUCCCAACGAUCAACGUUUUCUCAUACGCAAUUCUUUGGAACAGCCGCCGCUCAUCAGUUCCGAUCCCAUUGAGUCGAUCACCUCCGAGUUGCGCAUAUUCAAUGUACGUGCCAGCGAUAAAGGUGUAUACACUUGCAUUGCGGAGAAUCGUGGCGGCAAGGGGGAAGCGGAAUUUCAACUGAUCGUCGAUGGUGACUUCUUUGGCGCACUCGAAGGCAUAGCUGGCGGUGUAGGCGCUUCCACCACGGACACCCAAUCGAAUUUUCUGCUCGUCAUCUGUUUAAUUGUCAUCACCGUGCUGCUGAUACUCAUGUGUGUGCUGCUAUUGGCCUGUUGGUGGUGUCGGCGUGCGCGUUCCUAUCAAAAGGACACCACAAUGAUGAGUGAAAAUGGUUUGAUCUCUACGAAAAUGGAUAAGACGAAUAGUUCAAUGCUUGAGGGUUCGGUGAUAAUGGAAAUGCAAAAGAGUCUACUAACAGAAGUGAAUCCGGUUGAGAAGCCACCGAGACGCACGGAAUUGGAAAAUGUUGAUGGCAGCGAUGAGGGGCAUGAAAUCAAGAAGACACUACUGGAUGAAUCACAAUUCGGCAAUCACCCGCGCGACGAUGAAACCCACUCGGUCGCCCUGUCGGAUACCACCGCGCCACGCGUACGCCACACAUACAUCGACGACACGUACGGCACCAGUCUGCCACCAGACUUGCUCGCCUUCCCCGCACGAGUGCCGCCCACCUCACCAUCGAUGCAAUCCUCGCACAGCAAUAUACCGGAACAAAUCAUCUACGGCAUACGCUCACCACCACUCACCAGCCCGGUGUAUGCGCAUAUGACGCCGCAUGGCAUUUACGGCACCACAACCAUCGCUGCCGCUACUCCAAAUGGUUUCAUGACUUUGCAGCAUCCGAAAUCACGCAACUUGGCACUCAUUGCAGCCGCCAAUAAUCGUCAACAGCUACAGCAACAGCAACAUAUGCAUGCAGUUGCCGCCCACCUCCCGCCACAACAUGGCGUACACCAUCAGCAGCAAUCACCCUUCAUGCCCGCGCCUGUUAUGUACUCACCCACCACAGCGGUGGUGAUGAAACAAGGCUAUAUGACUAUACCACGCAAACCGCGUGUGCCCAGUUGGGCGCCAUCCACCUCGACCGCAAACGCGACACAGUUAAGCGAGUUCCAAUCGCCCACAUCGCCAAAUCCCAGCGAAUCUGGCACCGCCACAACAGCGGAACUGCAAGCGGAGCCGGUCUACGAUAAUCUUGGACUGCGCACAACGGCUGCCGGCAACUCCACGUUAAACUUACAUAAAUUACAUCCGGAGGCGAGUAGUGGCACUGGUGGCGCUUCAACUUCCACGCGUUAUACAAUGCGCGAUCGGCCAUUACCGGCAACGCCGAGCCUUACGUCGGUCGCCUCGUCUAGCGCGUCGACAGCUAUGCAGCAGCAGCAACAACAACAACAACAAGUGCAACAGCAGCAGCAAACGCCCACAAAACAAAAGCCUGUAUUGCCGAGCACUUCAGCGGCAGCAGUGGCGUCGGCAUCGAAAAUUUACGAGCCCAUACACGAUCUGGCGCAUAAUCAUCAUCAACUGACAACGACCUCCGAUACGGAGCCGCUUUAUGGUACAGCGCGAAAUCACAACGGUCUCACCAUAGUGCCGAGCGCUAUCAAUAUGAAUGGUGGCGUUGGUGGUGGCGGCGCAGUUAACGGUGCACUCAAUAUAUCCAACAGCGCCAAUACGUCGACGACGGGUGGUGAGCCCACGAAGGUGGCGAAAAUACCGCCACGUCCACCACCAAAACCGAAGAAGAAGAUGUCGGUAACAGCGAUACGUGGCGGCCAAGGCAGUACCAGCCAACUGUUCGAUGACGAGGGUGAGGAUGGCACUGAAGUUUAGUUGCAUGAAAUGCAGGGCGGCGACAGCGUAGGCAACAAAAACAAUGACGACGCCACCUAAAACUUUGUAAAAAUAUAUACAUAUAUGGCAGCGAAUAACGGUAUUUAGUAUUGUACGCCGCGGCGUCUGAUAAUAAAACAUGGCGCGCAGCGAAAAGCAAUGAAUGCGUACAUUAAUUAUUAAUUGGACAAGAAUUUGGGAAACAAAGAAAGAAAGAAAAAACCCACAAAAGUUAAGAAAACAAGUUUUUGUUUCACGAAAAGAUGAGCGUACUAGAAAAGAGAGCGUCAUCAAACGGAAGUGUGGAGUGUGAAGAAAAUGUAAAAUUACUGGUGUUGCCAACGGGAGGAGGUGGUAAAUUUGGAACUAUUUUUUGGUGCAACGAACCAAUAAUACAAUACACAUACUCAUGCAUACAUAGAAUUAUAUAUGUUUAUUUUUCCCUAUCGUUUAUACCAUAUACAUAUUACCAUAUUUUUAUUUUAUUACUUUAACAAAAAAACUGAAAAAAAUGUAUCAUGCGAUUUUUUUUUUCAUUGCACAUAUUUUUUACGAUACAAAUGUAAGUACAGUAUCAUUAUGUACAUUGUUAGCUAGGCAUAUACUAUACAUAUAUUUAUAUAUUUGUAAAAAAAAAUUAAUUAGAGAUAAAACGAAAAACAAAAAUGAAAAUUAAAACGAAAAUUAAGAUCUACAUGCAUACAUACAUAGUUUUAGUAAAGUUUAACUUUGGUAGUAUUUUAAGCGAAAUUAUCAAUUUAUAGACGAAAUGUGUAAAAGUUAUGAAGAAGCAGUUGUUUUAGGUGUAAGAAGAAGCAGUGAUGUAUGUAUGUAAGUAGAUAAGUACAUAAGUGUUGAACUAAGCAUACAAUAAGUACAUAUUUUAUUGCUAGUACAUACAUAUGUAUGGGCAUAGGUAUAAUUAGUAGAAAAAAAAUAAAUAAAUAAAAAAAUAUUUAUAAAUAUACGAUGAAAUAGAGAAUAAAGCUGAAAGAACGGCAUAUAAGCAAGUGAUUGUUGGGUUAAAAGCAGAAAAGCGUUAAAUAUUUAUAUAAAAUUUUCAAGUAAACAGACUAUUAGGUACAUACAUAUGUACAUACGUGUGUUAACUACUACAAAGAUUAAUGUAUGUAAUUACAGACAAACAUUCAUAGAUAUGUGGGGUGGGAGUAUAGCAUAAAUAUUUGUAGAUAAAGUAAAUUUAGCGCCUAAAUUUCUAAUAUUUUUAAAUAAAUUUUUUUUUAAAUAUUUUAGUUUAUGCAAACGCCUUUACAAAUUCGCCGCAUUCAUAUAUGUAGAACAGCUUUUAUUGUAAAAAAAUAAAAAAAAUAAAAAAAUAGAAAUAAAUAUAAAAAUAAAAACAAAUUAAAAAAUAGUUUAUUUAUGUAAAUAAACAAAUAAACACAAUUGCAUAAUUUAUUAAUAUGUAUGCAAGUAAAUUUUGCUGAAUUCUAUAGAUGAUAUGACACUUAUAAAAGAUUGUACAUAAAAAUUAAAUUUUUUUUAACUAAUUAUGAAUACAAAAAAUUAAUAAUUAAAUGACACAAAAUGACGAAAUCGAGGGAGCUCGAAAAGUUUGUAUGAAAUUAUUGCAAGAAAUUAAUAAAAUUCUCAUAUGCAAGCAAAUAUAUGUACAUGUAAACAUAAUAACAGAAAGUAUUAUUGAUUUGUAUAUAACAGAUACACGUACAUACAACUGCGUACAUGCAACAUACAGACCAGUUAGCUACAUAUAUAACGCAAUACAAGCGGCAGCAAAAUUUACUUAGUGCUCGACAUACAUACAUACAAGUUCAUAUUUUGCUACUUCGCUAAUUAUUUGUUAUAAUUUACC
Molecule: RNA transcript, 7355 nt
Organism: Ceratitis capitata (Mediterranean fruit fly)
Lineage: Eukaryota; Metazoa; Arthropoda; Insecta; Diptera; Tephritidae
Gene: kek5
Exons: 10
Source: RefSeq, a predicted model, not a curated record